This is a long non-coding RNA of Agrilus planipennis (emerald ash borer), 811 nucleotides long. RefSeq lists it as uncharacterized. The record is from RefSeq and is a predicted model, not a curated record. The transcript is spliced from 6 exons. Lineage: Eukaryota; Metazoa; Arthropoda; Insecta; Coleoptera; Buprestidae.
GUCCAGAAUGAAGUGUGGAGGUAGGAACGAUUGUAUGAUGAAAAAGAAAGCUCUGUGACUGGUAUAGAAACACAAACAAAUUGGAUCAAAAGCUCAGUUUCAGUUGUGAAUAAGAAGAGCAAUUGAAUUUACUUCGCUUUUAUUGGUAUGAUGGUAUCCUUCUUGUGAAACUUCUUUACCUUGGGACAUUAUGAAUAUUACACAAACAUUGGACAUGAUGUGCAGUUAGUUUGUGAUUGUAGUAGUCCACACUGCAUCCCAGUAUGGAGCAGUAUCCUUUUAUUCGCUGGAAGCAGAAACAAUAAGGAUUGUCCAACAAAAGAGAAGGAAUUGCAGUUAAUUUUGAUGCUACUGAAGUAAUGUAUACUUUUGAUGUCAUCACUUUGCAACAUUAUGGAGUUAAUUUUGAACUUUCGAGGAGGAGGCAACUGGAAAUUAGUUUAGAAAGGACUGAAACAACAGGUUGUCUGCAGUGGUUUUCCUGUUGGAUUUGGCUUGCCCAUUACACUUGGAGACUUUAAAAUACUACUUCCUGCAGUUAAAGAUUAUCGAACAAAUGAGUUCAGUUUGGCUGUACUGAAACGGCCAAUGUCUACAUGGGUGUUUUCUCUUCUGGUCUUGGUUUUGAUUUGCUAUUUGUAUCUUCACCUUGCAACCUAUGCAGUUAACUGGAGACUUAUUUGAACAGCAGACUUUCUGCCGUGGUAUUCUGGAUUUGGUUUGCUUUUUACACCUGCAAACAUUGAGAGGUAGCAGUCUACAGUUAAUUAAGAUCGACGCUGGAGAAGACAAAGAUGACCCCGUAGUUGAA